CCUACGGGUGGCUGCAGUGGGGAAUAUUGGACAAUGGGCGAAAGCCUGAUCCAGCCAUGCCGCGUGUGUGAAGAAGGCCUUCGGGUUGUAAAGCACUUUCAGUGGGGAAGAAAGCCUUGGGGCUAAUACCCUCGAGGAAGGACAUCACCCACAGAAGAAGCACCGGCUAACUCCGUGCCAGCAGCCGCGGUAAUACGGAGGGUGCGAGCGUUAAUCGGAAUUACUGGGCGUAAAGCGCGCGUAGGCGGUCUGAUAAGCCGGUUGUGAAAGCCCCGGGCUCAACCUGGGAACGGCAUCCGGAACUGUCAGGCUAGAGUGCAGGAGAGGAAGGUAGAAUUCCCGGUGUAGCGGUGAAAUGCGUAGAGAUCGGGAGGAAUACCAGUGGCGAAGGCGGCCUUCUGGACUGACACUGACGCUGAGGUGCGAAAGCGUGGGUAGCAAACAGGAUUAGAUACCCGAGUAUC
This 464-nucleotide ribosomal RNA is filed under the name Vreelandella stevensii. RNAcentral's name for it is "partial 16S ribosomal RNA". It matches the Rfam family "Bacterial small subunit ribosomal RNA", at positions 338 to 794 of the family's 1533-position model. Lineage: Bacteria; Pseudomonadati; Pseudomonadota; Gammaproteobacteria; Oceanospirillales; Halomonadaceae. The record is from RNAcentral.